Molecule: non-coding RNA, 73 nt
Organism: Podarcis lilfordi (Lilford's wall lizard)
Lineage: Eukaryota; Metazoa; Chordata; Lepidosauria; Squamata; Lacertidae
Source: the annotation of a GenBank genome assembly
CCCUGAAUAGCUCAGUCAGUAGAACAUGAUACUCUUAAUCUCAGGGUCGCGGGUUCAAGCCCCACGUUGGGCA